AUACGUAGGGUGCAAGCGUUAAUCGGAAUUACUGGGCGUAAAGCGUGCGCAGGCGGUUUUGUAAGACAGUGGUGAAAUCCCCGGGCUCAACCUGGGAACUGCCAUUGUGACUGCAAGGCUGGAGUGCGGCAGAGGGGGAUGGAAUUCCGCGUGGAGCAGUGAAAUGCGUAGAUAUGCGGAGGAACACCGAUGGCGAAGGCAAUCCCCUGGGCCUGCACUGACGCUCAUGCACGAAAGCGUGGGGAGCAAACAGGAUUAGAUACCCUGGUAGUCCACGCCCUAAACGAUGUCAACUGGUUGUUGGGGAUUUAUUUUCUCAGUAACGAAGCUAACGCGUGAAGUUGACCGCCUGGGGAGUACGGCCGCAAGGUUAAAACUUAAAGGAAUUGACGGGG
RNAcentral lists this ribosomal RNA (395 nucleotides) under uncultured bacterium. Its description in RNAcentral is "partial 16S ribosomal RNA". It matches the Rfam family "Bacterial small subunit ribosomal RNA", at positions 523 to 918 of the family's 1533-position model. The record is from RNAcentral.